CUGGCGUCAGUGCUGGGGAGCAGCCCUGGGCGGGCCUCUGCUCUGGCCCCUUCUGGGGCCCGCACUCUCGCCCGGGCCUG
RNAcentral lists this microRNA precursor (80 nucleotides) under Chlorocebus sabaeus (green monkey). Its description in RNAcentral is "mir-1343 microRNA precursor family". It matches the Rfam family "mir-1343 microRNA precursor family". The record is from Rfam by way of RNAcentral. Lineage: Eukaryota; Metazoa; Chordata; Mammalia; Primates; Cercopithecidae.